AGCAUCAUCAAUAGACUAUACCACUUUGAAGACAGAGAUUCAGGCAAUGAAGAUAAAAUAUCUAAUCUUAAAAAUAAACUUAAUCAUGGAGAAAAGAUGUUAAGAGACCAUGAACAGUAUUUUCAAGAAAUAUGGAGAGAGAUCCAAGGCGGUAGAAUAGAGGAUGUCACGUUCCUGGCUGCUCUGUGGCAUGAAACCUCUGCAAGCACAACUAAGUACAGCAAGUGGUCAUUUCUCCCUCGAUAUUUGUAUCUGCAGUUUAGCAAAGCUGCUAAUGCAUUUUUUUUGUUCAUUACCAUAUUGCAGGUAAUAUUUUUGUACAUGUUAUUAAACUAAGAUUCUUAAGACAUCUAAGAAAACCCUUGUAAAAGUUCAUUUAGCUGAAAUAAAGGUUUCCAUAGACAAUAAACUGAAAUACUGUAAGAAGAGAAUUUGUAUUACAAUGUUUAAGUCAUUCAGUGAGACACUGAAACUCAAUUUUUGGGCUGAAAAACACAUGGAUGCAACUUUCAUCGUGUAUGCCUCCUUUAUAAUGGAAUAAUUUAUUCAUAUUUUGAAAGGAACAAUUGAAAGGAAACCAAACAAUAAUUUUAAAUAGCAUCUGUUCAAAAGAGUUAAAUUCAAAGUUUUCCACAAUCUGGUUCAUUCCUGUUUACUUAUGAAGCCCACAAUCAAAAUAAUCUCUUCAUAAUUUUCUGGUUUUUUUUCUAUUUCCAGACUUUGACCCUUAGUGUUAGAGGAGGAGAAAUCUGAUAUUAAGUCUGUAGCCUUUGGGCACAGGACAUAGCAAAACAUAAAAAACCUGGAAGCUUUGGUUGCAUUUCAGGAGGAAAAUCACUGUAUUAGUCAACUUUGCAUUAAUACAGUGAAGUAUCUGAAGCAACUGACUUUAGAAAAUAGGCAUUAUUAUUGCUGUGGGUAUAUACAUGACUGCAUGACCAAUGUAAUUCUGCAACCUAUACACUCAGAAAAAUGAGAAAUUAUAUCCCAUCUGAUUCAAACGUAUGAUAUGUCAAGAUCAUUGUACUGUCAUGUGUAACUAAUAAAAACGAAUUUAAAAAAAG
This 1064-nucleotide long non-coding RNA is filed under the name Ictidomys tridecemlineatus (thirteen-lined ground squirrel). Its description in RNAcentral is "lncRNA (ENSSTOG00000029634.1)". The record is from RNAcentral. Lineage: Eukaryota; Metazoa; Chordata; Mammalia; Rodentia; Sciuridae.